This 474-nucleotide ribosomal RNA is filed under the name Mammaliicoccus vitulinus. RNAcentral's name for it is "bacterial SSU rRNA". It matches the Rfam family "Bacterial small subunit ribosomal RNA", at positions 23 to 479 of the family's 1533-position model. Lineage: Bacteria; Bacillati; Bacillota; Bacilli; Caryophanales; Staphylococcaceae. The record is from RNAcentral.
CUCAGGAUGAACGCUGGCGGCGUGCCUAAUACAUGCAAGUCGAGCGAACAGAUGAGAAGCUUGCUUCUCUGAUGUUAGCGGCGGACGGGUGAGUAACACGUGGGUAACCUACCUAUAAGACUGGGAUAACUCCGGGAAACCGGGGCUAAUACCUGAUAAUAUUUUGAACCGCAUGGUUCAAUAGUGAAAGACGGCUUCGGCUGUCACUUAUAGAUGGACCCGCGCCGUAUUAGCUAGUUGGUAAGGUAAUGGCUUACCAAGGCGACGAUACGUAGCCGACCUGAGAGGGUGAUCGGCCACACUGGAACUGAGACACGGUCCAGACUCCUACGGGAGGCAGCAGUAGGGAAUCUUCCGCAAUGGGCGAAAGCCUGACGGAGCAACGCCGCGUGAGUGAUGAAGGUCUUAGGAUCGUAAAACUCUGUUGUUAGGGAAGAACAAAUUUGUUAGUAACUGAACAAGUCUGACGGUACC